This 429-nucleotide ribosomal RNA is filed under the name Chloroflexota bacterium. RNAcentral describes it as "Chloroflexi bacterium partial 16S ribosomal RNA". It matches the Rfam family "Bacterial small subunit ribosomal RNA", at positions 355 to 776 of the family's 1533-position model. The record is from RNAcentral. Lineage: Bacteria; Bacillati; Chloroflexota.
UGGGGAAUAUUGCACAAUGGGCGCAAGCCUGAUGCAGCCAUGCCGCGUGUAUGAAGAAGUCCUUCGGGUUGUAAAGUACUUUCAGUCGGGAGGAAGGUGGUAAGGUUAAUAACCUUAUCAAUUGACGUUACCGACAGAAGAAGCACCGGCUAACUCCGUGCCAGCAGCCGCGGUAAUACGGAGGGUGCAAGCGUUAAUCGGAAUUACUGGGCGUAAAGCGCACGCAGGCGGUUGAUUGAGUCAGAUGUGAAAUCCCCGGGCUUAACCCGGGAAUUGCAUCUGAUACUGGUCAGCUAGAGUCGUGUAGAGGGGGGUAGAAUUCCAUGUGUAGCGGUGAAAUGCGUAGAGAUGUGGAGGAAUACCGGUGGCGAAGGAGGACCCAUGGACAAAGACUGACGCUCAGGUGCGAAAGCGUGGGGAGCAAACAGG